Zingiber officinale is the source of this 772-nucleotide long non-coding RNA. RefSeq lists it as uncharacterized. The transcript has 4 exons. NCBI's taxonomy places the organism in Eukaryota, Viridiplantae, Streptophyta, Magnoliopsida, Zingiberales, Zingiberaceae. The record is from RefSeq and is a predicted model, not a curated record.
AACCCGCACGCCCUCUUCCCUUCUCCUCUCACGCCGAAGCCCUCUCCCCUUGCCCUAACCGGCGCCACGGCGGUUCCUUCUCCUUCCACGCAUACAAGCCGAAGCCCUAGUGCCAAUUCCUCUUCUUCCUCCUUCCUCGCGACGCCCUAUCUCCACUGUCGCCGGCGAUGCAGACGCCUUCUCUGUUUGUCUCCGCCGUUGAGAUCGGGAACACACCGACGCUGCUCGCCUCUGCCCUAGCGCAAGCAGCCUAACCUCUCCGAUCUCCUCACGCGCGCCGUCGUCGUUCCAACACCAGUCGAUCGCCGGCCACCCCUUACUGUGUCGUGCCCUAGAUUUUAGGUUCACAGUCAUCGCCGACCUAUCUCCUGCUAAUUCCUCUUCUCUGUGAAGUCGAGCCACCGCCUAGUGACGCUCCUCCUCAGCCCUAGCCGACCGCCAUUGUGCGCUGUCUUGUUGACCGUCGCCAAUUCCCUGGUGCUACCGUGCCCUAGAUUGGGUUCCCAAUCAUCUUGUUCAUUGCCGCACCUCUGCACGGUACCGACGCCGCUGCCCUAGUGCCCUCUGCCUUGAUCAAAUCCACGCAACAAUCAAUUUGUGCUAGUAGCCACAGUUCUGGUGUGGAUCAACAAGCACGGCUACGAGUUGGCAAUUUAUUUUGUUGCUAGUGGUGACAAGUCGAUCUCCAGUUGUGCUGUUGACAGAAGCUUUAGAGUUGUACAGAUUUAAAUUGGGACUUUGAUUCGAGACGAGUAUCUCGAUUGUCGGAUUG